RNAcentral lists this ribosomal RNA (463 nucleotides) under uncultured bacterium. Its description in RNAcentral is "partial 16S ribosomal RNA". It matches the Rfam family "Bacterial small subunit ribosomal RNA", at positions 28 to 507 of the family's 1533-position model. The record is from RNAcentral.
GAUGAACGCUGACAGAAUGCUUAACACAUGCAAGUCUUUGGCGAAGCUGUGCUCGCACAGCCUAGCCAAGGCGGACGGGUGAGUAACGCGUAAGGAAAUUGCCCUGCAGUCAGGGAUAACAGACGGAAACGACUGAUAAGACCUGGUAAAGUCAGGCGGACUCAUGUCCAGCCUGAUGAAAAGAGAUGCUGCAGGAGAGCCUUGCGUCCUAUUAGCUUGUUGGUGGGGUAACGGCCCACCAAGGCGAUGAUAGGUAGCCGGCCUGAGAGGGUGGACGGCCACAAGGGGACUGAGAUACGGCCCUUACUCCUACGGGAGGCAGCAGUGGGGAAUAUUGGACAAUGGGGGCAACCCUGAUCCAGCAAUUCUGUGUGCACGAUGAAGGUUUUCGGAUUGUAAAGGGCUUUCAGCAGGGAAGAAAAAAAUGACGGUACCUGCAGAAGAAGCGACGGCUAAAUACGUG